This 405-nucleotide ribosomal RNA is filed under the name uncultured bacterium. RNAcentral's name for it is "bacterial SSU rRNA". It matches the Rfam family "Bacterial small subunit ribosomal RNA", at positions 29 to 417 of the family's 1533-position model. The record is from RNAcentral.
AACGAACGCUGGCGGCGUGCCUAACACAUGCAAGUCGUGCGAGAAAGUUCCUUCGGGAGCGAGUAAAGCGGCGCACGGGUGAGUAACACGUAGGUAACCUGCCCCCCAGUCUGGAACAACUAGAGGAAACUCUAGCUAAUGCCGGAUGAGACCACGAUCCCUUCGGGGGUUGCGGCCAAAGAUGGCCUCUACUUGUAAGCUAUCGCUGAGGGAUGGGCCUGCGGGCCAUUAGCUUGUUGGUGAGGUAACGGCUCACCAAGGCUGUGAUGGCUAGCUGGUCUGAGAGGAUGACCAGCCGCACUGGGACUGAGACACGGCCCAGACUCCUACGGGAGGCAGCAGUGGGGAAUAUUGCGCAAUGGGCGAAAGCCUGACGCAGCGACGCCGCGUGGGUGAUGAAGGCCU